RNAcentral lists this ribosomal RNA (720 nucleotides) under Bacillus thuringiensis. RNAcentral describes it as "bacterial SSU rRNA". It matches the Rfam family "Bacterial small subunit ribosomal RNA", at positions 66 to 766 of the family's 1533-position model. Lineage: Bacteria; Bacillati; Bacillota; Bacilli; Caryophanales; Bacillaceae. The record is from RNAcentral.
GCGAAUGGAUUAAGAGCUUGCUCUUAUGAAGUUAGCGGCGGACGGGUGAGUAACACGUGGGUAACCUGCCCAUAAGACUGGGAUAACUCCGGGAAACCGGGGCUAAUACCGGAUAAUAUUUUGAACCGCAUGGUUCGAAAUUGAAAGGCGGCUUCGGCUGUCACUUAUGGAUGGACCCGCGUCGCAUUAGCUAGUUGGUGAGGUAACGGCUCACCAAGGCAACGAUGCGUAGCCGACCUGAGAGGGUGAUCGGCCACACUGGGACUGAGACACGGCCCAGACUCCUACGGGAGGCAGCAGUAGGGAAUCUUCCGCAAUGGACGAAAGUCUGACGGAGCAACGCCGCGUGAGUGAUGAAGGCUUUCGGGUCGUAAAACUCUGUUGUUAGGGAAGAACAAGUGCUAGUUGAAUAAGCUGGCACCUUGACGGUACCUAACCAGAAAGCCACGGCUAACUACGUGCCAGCAGCCGCGGUAAUACGUAGGUGGCAAGCGUUAUCCGGAAUUAUUGGGCGUAAAGCGCGCGCAGGUGGUUUCUUAAGUCUGAUGUGAAAGCCCACGGCUCAACCGUGGAGGGUCAUUGGAAACUGGGAGACUUGAGUGCAGAAGAGGAAAGUGGAAUUCCAUGUGUAGCGGUGAAAUGCGUAGAGAUAUGGAGGAACACCAGUGGCGAAGGCGACUUUCUGGUCUGUAACUGACACUGAGGCGCGAAAGCGUGGGG